UGGUAAGACGGGGGAUGAGGCGGGGGGAAUAGUUGGGUCCCGGGGUUUGUCCGGAGUUAUUGGGCGGAAAGCGAGGGCAGGUGGGUGUAUAAGUCGGAAGUAAAAGGCAGGGGCUCAACCAUUGUGGGCUUUGGAAACUGUACAACUUGAGUGCAGAAGGGGAGAGUGGAAUUCCAUGUGUAGCGGUGAAAUGCGUAGAUAUAUGGGGGAACACCGGUGGCGAAAGCGGCUCUCUGGUCUGUAACUGACACUGAGGCUCGAAAGCGUGGGGAGCAAACAGGAUUAGAUACCCUGGUAGUC
RNAcentral lists this ribosomal RNA (300 nucleotides) under uncultured Desulfurococcus sp. RNAcentral's name for it is "bacterial SSU rRNA". The stretch from base 53 to 300 matches the Rfam family "Bacterial small subunit ribosomal RNA", at positions 547 to 795 of the family's 1533-position model. Lineage: Archaea; Thermoproteati; Thermoproteota; Thermoprotei; Desulfurococcales; Desulfurococcaceae. The record is from RNAcentral.